CUAUUCGGACUUUCUUCAAUCUUUCUGUCAUGUGGCAGGUCCAGAGCAGCUCCUGGGAAUUAUUUCAGCAGCCUGAGGCUCACAGGCUGUUUCUGAACAGAGAGAUCUGAUGAACUCUUCACAGGAAGAAUGAGGUGAAAACCGUUCUGAUCCUUCCAUGGACUGUCUGGUGCUAUUCAUUUCUCAAGAUAGCAAGCCUUGCACAUAGAAUAUUAUUGAG
Molecule: long non-coding RNA, 220 nt
Filed under: Numida meleagris (helmeted guineafowl)
Lineage: Eukaryota; Metazoa; Chordata; Aves; Galliformes; Numididae
Description: lncRNA (ENSNMEG00000005820.1)
Source: RNAcentral